AUAUUUUUGAUGUACUGUAACUAGCAUAAUAAAAAAGUCUGUUCUUAUCAGCUUAAUAUCUGAUACGGGUUCUAUAUGGACCCAUGAUAUUAAACCUAUUUUUGGAAGUUGGCGGAGUGCUUGAAGCCUGCUUCACCUCCACCACAGGUCGGCCCGGUAUUGCACUACCUCCGGGAUCGGACCCCGCUCA
This 190-nucleotide small nuclear RNA is filed under the name Dermacentor andersoni. RNAcentral describes it as "U2 spliceosomal RNA". It matches the Rfam family "U2 spliceosomal RNA". From Rfam's summary of the family: U2 is a small nuclear RNA (snRNA) component of the spliceosome (involved in pre-mRNA splicing). Complementary binding between U2 snRNA (in an area lying towards the 5' end but 3' to hairpin I) and the branchpoint sequence (BPS) of the intron results the bulging out of an unpaired adenosine, on the BPS, which initiates a nucleophilic attack at the intronic 5' splice site, thus starting the first of two transesterification reactions that mediate splicing. Lineage: Eukaryota; Metazoa; Arthropoda; Arachnida; Ixodida; Ixodidae. The record is from RNAcentral.